RNAcentral lists this ribosomal RNA (489 nucleotides) under uncultured bacterium. RNAcentral's name for it is "partial 16S ribosomal RNA". It matches the Rfam family "Bacterial small subunit ribosomal RNA", at positions 28 to 506 of the family's 1533-position model. The record is from RNAcentral.
GAUGAACGCUCGCUACAGGCUUAACACAUGCAAGUCGCGUGGCAGCAUGGGGGUUGCUUGCAAUCCCCGAUGGCGACCGGCGCACGGGUGAGUAACGCGUAUCCAACCUGCCCUUCACCACGGGAUAACCCGGCGAAAGUCGGACUAAUACCGUAUGUUGUCCAUUGACGGCAUCCGAUUUGGACGAAAGGUUUGGCGGUGAAGGAUGGGGAUGCGUCCGAUUAGCUGGACGGCGGGGUGACGGCCCACCGUGGCGACGAUCGGUAGGGGUUCUGAGAGGAAGGUCCCCCACACUGGAACUGAGACACGGUCCAGACUCCUACGGGAGGCAGCAGUGAGGAAUAUUGGUCAAUGGGCGUAAGCCUGAACCAGCCAAGUAGCGUGCAGGAUGACGGCCCUAUGGGUUGUAAACUGCUUUUAUGCGGGGAUAAAGUGGCCCACGUGUGGGUUUUUGCAGGGACCGCAUGAAUAAGGACCGGCUAAUUCCGU